AGAGGUGUUUUGUGCAUAAAACUAGUAAGGAGAAGUAUGAGAAUAUGGCGGGGCGAGUUGUUUUGAGAGAGAUAUUUGGGGUUGGGUUUGAUGGGCAUUUCCCUGCUGCCAAGAAAGCAGCUGAAGAGGUUGGUUCGGCUUUCUUGUUGCUUGAGUCACCGUUUGUUCAAUGCAGUUUGUCUGGUGAGCCUUCUGAUGUGGGGGAUGAGGGGUUCGAGAAUAAGUUUGGAGUGUUUGGUUUGG
RNAcentral lists this unclassified non-coding RNA (243 nucleotides) under Hevea brasiliensis (rubber tree). The record is from RNAcentral. Lineage: Eukaryota; Viridiplantae; Streptophyta; Magnoliopsida; Malpighiales; Euphorbiaceae.